GUGCACCAGUCGAGAAACCUCCGCAAUACACGAAAGUGUGACGGGGCCAUCCCGAGUGCCGUCCGCUGAGGACGGCUUUUCCCCAGUGUACACAGCUGGGGGAAUAAGGAGAGGGCAAGCCUGGUGUCAGCCGCCGCGGUAAUACCAGCUCUCCGAGUGGUGGGGACGCUUAUUGGCCUAAAGCAUCCGAGCCGGCUGGGCAAGUCCUCCGUUAAAUCCAACGAUUCAAUCGUUGGGCUGCGGGGGAUACUGUCCAGCUUGGGGCGGAGAGGCCGACGGUAUUCCCGGGG
RNAcentral lists this ribosomal RNA (290 nucleotides) under uncultured microorganism. Its description in RNAcentral is "partial 16S ribosomal RNA". It matches the Rfam family "Archaeal small subunit ribosomal RNA", at positions 330 to 626 of the family's 1478-position model. The record is from RNAcentral.